CAGGUACAGAUGGAUGCUACCGGGCGACCGGAUGCGGAUCUCGAAAGCCUGUCCCAGUUCGGACUGGAGUCUGCAACCCGACUCCACGAAGUUGGAUUCGCUAGUAAUCGCGCAUCAGCCAUGGCGCGGUGAAUACGUUCCCGGGCCUUGUACACACCGCCCGUCAAGCCAUGGGAGCCGGGGGCGCCUGAAGUCCGGGACCGCGAGGACCGGCCUAGGGCGAAACUGGUAACUGGGGCUAAGUCGUAACAAGGUAUC
This 258-nucleotide ribosomal RNA is filed under the name uncultured bacterium. RNAcentral's name for it is "partial 16S ribosomal RNA". It matches the Rfam family "Bacterial small subunit ribosomal RNA", at positions 1234 to 1500 of the family's 1533-position model. The record is from RNAcentral.